GGUCACACCAGGUAUAUAUUGCAAGUCAUCACUGUAUUGAUACAGAAUGCCCUGCAAACAUAAUUACACCAUGUAAAUUAGAAGUUUAAAUAUAUGAAAUCAUGACCUCCACCACCAACCCAAUCAACAUAUGGGACACCCAACCGUGAUCCCUGAAAAUUUUUACCUUGCAAUCCUAAUACAAUCUUAUUCAUACUUUGAACAAGUUCAUUAUCCUCACUGUAACUCUCAUAGCACGCCCGCAUAUUAGAUCUCUGCAUACCUAUAAAAACAGUUCUUUAUAGACACAUACUUACAUAUUUUAUUAUACUUACAUCAAUACAAGGAGCAAAUGCAUAUGAAAUUCCGAUAGCUCUGACUUCAGCAAUAGUGGUUGCACCUAUUCUCUUCACAAGAUUAGUGUCCCUAGUGUCUAUGUGGCCAAUAUUAUGUGGAAAUAUUGUAGCAUAAAUAACAUUGUUGUCACUAUGAUCAGCAACAAUUCCAUAAAUCAUUGGAUCCAUGAUCAUGUAGAAAAUGUUGGAGCUCAUGAGUAG
This 536-nucleotide long non-coding RNA is filed under the name Helianthus annuus (common sunflower). Its description in RNAcentral is "sRNA HanXRQr2_Chr02g0077901". The record is from RNAcentral. Lineage: Eukaryota; Viridiplantae; Streptophyta; Magnoliopsida; Asterales; Asteraceae.